Molecule: long non-coding RNA, 100 nt
Organism: Sinocyclocheilus anshuiensis
Lineage: Eukaryota; Metazoa; Chordata; Actinopteri; Cypriniformes; Cyprinidae
Exons: 3
Source: RefSeq, a predicted model, not a curated record
GCACACAGACAGACAGACAGACAGAGACUGAGAGAGAGAGAGAGAGGAGACACUGACCCCAGCUCAGAGCGGAGGAAGAGCGGACACACACACACACACA